RNAcentral lists this ribosomal RNA (253 nucleotides) under uncultured bacterium. RNAcentral's name for it is "partial 16S ribosomal RNA". It matches the Rfam family "Bacterial small subunit ribosomal RNA", at positions 524 to 776 of the family's 1533-position model. The record is from RNAcentral.
UACGUAGGGGGCAAGCGUUGUCCGGAAUCAUUGGGCGUAAAGAGCGCGUAGGCGGUCCGGUAAGUCCGCUGUGAAAGUCAAGGGCUCAACCCUUGAAUGCCGGUGGAUACUGUCGGGCUAGAGUCCGGAAGAGGCGAGUGGAAUUCCUGGUGUAGCGGUGAAAUGCGCAGAUAUCAGGAGGAACACCAAUGGCGAAGGCAGCACUCUGGGACGGUACUGACGCUGAGACGCGAAAGCGUGGGGAGCGAACAGG